UACGUAGGGUGCAAGCGUUGUCCGGAAUUAUUGGGCGUAAAGAGCGCGUAGGCGGCCCUGCAAGUCCGUUCUGAAAGUCAAAGGCUCAACCUUUGAAAGCGGAUGGAUACUGCAGGGCUAGAGUCCGGAAGAGGCGAGUGGAAUUCCUGGUGUAGCGGUGGAAUGCGCAGAUAUCAGGAGGAACACCUGUGGCGAAGGCGGCCCCCUGGUUGGAUACUGACGCUGAUACGCGAAAGCGUGGGGAGCAAACAGG
This 253-nucleotide ribosomal RNA is filed under the name uncultured bacterium. Its description in RNAcentral is "partial 16S ribosomal RNA". It matches the Rfam family "Bacterial small subunit ribosomal RNA", at positions 524 to 776 of the family's 1533-position model. The record is from RNAcentral.